GCUUAACACAUGCAAGUCGAGCGGUAAGGCCCUUCGGGGUACACGAGCGGCGAACGGGUGAGUAACACGUGGGUGAUCUGCCUCGCACUUCGGGAUAAGCCUGGGAAACUGGGUCUAAUACCGGAUAUGACUCCUGGUUGCAUGGCUGGGGGUGGAAAGAUUUAUCGGUGCGAGAUGGGCCCGCGGCCUAUCAGCUUGUUGGUGGGGUAAUGGCCUACCAAGGCGACGACGGGUAGCCGGCCUGAGAGGGCGACCGGCCACACUGGGACUGAGACACGGCCCAGACUCCUACGGGAGGCAGCAGUGGGGAAUAUUGCACAAUGGGCGAAAGCCUGAUGCAGCGACGCCGCGUGAGGGAUGACGGCCUUCGGGUUGUAAACCUCUUUCGACAGGGACGAAGCGUAAGUGACGGUACCUGUAGAAGAAGCACCGGCCAACUACGUGCCAGCAGCCGCGGUAAUACGUAGGGUGCGAGCGUUGUCCGGAAUUACUGGGCGUAAAGAGCUUGUAGGCGGUUUGUCGCGUCGUCUGUGAAAACUCACAGCUCAACUGUGAGCUUGCAGGCGAUACGGGCAGACUUGAGUACUGCAGGGGAGACUGGAAUUC
Molecule: ribosomal RNA, 606 nt
Filed under: Nocardia pneumoniae
Lineage: Bacteria; Bacillati; Actinomycetota; Actinomycetes; Mycobacteriales; Nocardiaceae
Description: bacterial SSU rRNA
Rfam family: Bacterial small subunit ribosomal RNA
Source: RNAcentral